UACAGAGGGUGCAAGCGUUAUCCGGAUUCACUGGGUUUAAAGGGUGCGUAGGUGGGUUGGUAAGUCAGUGGUGAAAUCUCCAGGCUUAACUUGGAAACUGCCAUUGAUACUAUCAAUCUUGAAUACCGUGGAGGUCAGCGGAAUAUGUCAUGUAGCGGUGAAAUGCUUAGAUAUGACAUAGAACACCAAUUGCGAAGGCAGCUGGCUACACGAAUAUUGACACUGAUGCACGAAAGCGUGGGGAUCAAACAGG
RNAcentral lists this ribosomal RNA (253 nucleotides) under uncultured bacterium. RNAcentral describes it as "partial 16S ribosomal RNA". It matches the Rfam family "Bacterial small subunit ribosomal RNA", at positions 524 to 776 of the family's 1533-position model. The record is from RNAcentral.